This 222-nucleotide ribosomal RNA is filed under the name Elusimicrobiota bacterium. RNAcentral's name for it is "Elusimicrobia bacterium (gut metagenome) partial 23S ribosomal RNA". It matches the Rfam family "Bacterial large subunit ribosomal RNA", at positions 2692 to 2925 of the family's 2925-position model. The record is from RNAcentral. Lineage: Bacteria; Pseudomonadati; Elusimicrobiota.
CCGGAAUGAACAUACCUCUGGUGUUUCUGUUGUUCUGCCAAGAGCAUUGCAGAGUAGCCAAGUAUGGUUGAGAUAAACACUGAAAGCAUAUAAGUGUGAAACUUGCCCCAAGAUAAGAUUUCCCUAAAGACCACCCGUAGACUACGGGUUUGAUAGGCAAGAAGUGUAAGUGCAGUAAUGUAUUUAGCUAACUUGUACUAAUCGGUCGUUUGGCUUGGUCAC